AGCGAACGCUGGCGGCAGGCUUAACACAUGCAAGUCGAGCGGGCCCUUCGGGGUCAGCGGCGGACGGGUGAGUAACGCGUGGGAACGUGCCUUCUGGUUCGGAAUAACUCAGGGAAACUUGAGCUAAUACCGGAUACGCCCUUUUAGGGCAAGGUUUACUGCCGGAAGAUCGGCCCGCGUCUGAUUAGCGAGUUGGUGGGGUAACGGCCUACCACGGCGACGCUCAGUAGCUGGUCUGAGAGGAUGCUCAGCCACACUGGGACUGAGACGCGGCCCAGACUCCUAGGGGAGGGAGGAGAGGGGAAUAUAGGACAAUGGGCGCGAGCCUGAACCAGCCAGGCCGGGUGAGUGAUGAAGGCCGGAGGGAUGUAAAGCAGGUUUAUCCGGGGCGAUAAUGACGGUACCGGAGGAAUAAGCCCCGGCUAACUUCGUG
This 433-nucleotide ribosomal RNA is filed under the name uncultured bacterium. RNAcentral's name for it is "partial 16S ribosomal RNA". It matches the Rfam family "Bacterial small subunit ribosomal RNA", at positions 30 to 507 of the family's 1533-position model. The record is from RNAcentral.